This is a long non-coding RNA of Varroa destructor (honeybee mite), 1749 nucleotides long. The record is from RefSeq and is a predicted model, not a curated record. NCBI's taxonomy places the organism in Eukaryota, Metazoa, Arthropoda, Arachnida, Mesostigmata, Varroidae.
CUCAUAAAGUUGAGUUAAUCGUUGUGUUCGGUAGUUGUGUUGUUCUUCAAGUAGUGACAUUCCAUGAUUAGCUUGAGGGCUACAAUCUCCACGGUUGCAAUAUACUGCUAGUGGACAAUGUUACUUGUAAACUCUAACGGCCAAUCAUUUAUAUAGAAUAGAUAGAGCGCCACGGAUCGCGGAGACUGAUACCCAAUUUCCUUUUUAUCGUUUAGCUUGAAAUCUAUUUUUUAGAAUACACUUGAUGCAACUAAUGUCAGUGAACAUUGCUUUGUAGUUAUAUAUAACUAUAUAUAUAUAAUAUAAUCUUCAUGACAACUACUGUUUAUUAAACAUUUAUUUUUAUCAGACUUCAGUGACGUUGCCCGCUGGAUGUCGAGAAGAUUUCAGUCUUCUGUGUGGAUCCGCGCAAUAUACUGCGCAGGCGAUUGCCUGUGCGCUUGCCACACUUCUCUUCUAUAGCUUGGACGGGGCAGAUCCUAAGCCAAGGACUGAUUACAUUGGAUGCGCUAUAGCCUACCAAAUCCAUGCAACCUUCACGUAUGGAACAUGGACGACAACCUCAACUUGGGCUUAAACCGACAUAGUGUGGCUCCAGAGCCCAAAAUACAUCCGGAAUUAGCACCGAGUACAAGGUAUUGUCGUUGAAAGGUUUCAUACUGUAUUUUUAACCGAAUGCGGAACAGGUGCGGCCAUUGUCAUGAUGGCCGCCUGGUGAUGGGUGCUCAAGCGCCGAGACUGACGCCACAACAAAUUUCUAUGGCGCCGUUAUUGUACAGGUACGGGUACGGGUCUGUUUCUAUGGGAACGUAAAGAUCUGAUACACUCACAAGUCGUGUUCAACAUGAAGAUAAUGGCAGCUGACUCUAUCGUCAAGUGGUUAUAUCUUGUUUCAAAGCAGUCUCGUGGAACUAAAUGAGGAUCUCGGAGACGUGGAGCUUACUUGCACAAAUUGAGUUGCUCCAAGCGAUCGUGGGCCUGAAGAAAGGAAAGGAGCUAGUUCAAAGAAGUUCAUUGUUCACUCGAUUCUCUUACGGGCAAGGAGAAAAACUUCCAGGACGACAAGCAAGACACAAAACAGACUCUUGCGGAAGUAUUAGGUACACUAUUGGCAAGUAAAUCAGAUAACUGUUUCCCCGUUACAUUGUAUAUAUAUAAUGUGUGUCAUUCACCAGUGGGCUAUUGCCAUAUUUGGAGGAAAUUACACUGCGAAGGCGUGCCAAAUCCAGCCGUCAUCAACUAUUCUACACCGCUAAAUAUGACAGUUUUGAAAAAGUACGCCUAAACCAUAAUGUGUUAAGUCCGCAUUCAUUUGUUCAAAGGUGUACGCCAUUGUACUGUACUUUCAAUAGUUUAGAAAGCAAAUCAAGCUAAAUAGAAUAAUUACAGUUUCUUUAAAAAUUAUUAUAUAAAAAUAUUCUUUUAUAUACUUAUUAAUGAUGAUGAUGAUGACAGCAAUGAUUGUGCGAUCUUCAUAAUGUUGAACUAAAUUAAUAUAGAAUAAAAGGAUAUCCCUAACGAGACGAAAAUCCUGGAUGCUGUGUUAUAUUAGACUUGAGUAGAGAGCUUUGAUGUUGUUGGAAAUCAAUAGAAAAUGCUCGCCUGGGUGAACUAGGACGCGUCAUUCGUUUGCUGUACCAAGGAAAGCAACCACACCCAAAAUAAAGCUAUGACAUUUUUGAUCUCGCCAAAAGCUUAAAAAUCAAGGCGGAGAAAUCAACAAUAAAAAAAUUUCUGAUGUUAGUUGCA